Molecule: long non-coding RNA, 377 nt
Filed under: Triticum aestivum (bread wheat)
Lineage: Eukaryota; Viridiplantae; Streptophyta; Magnoliopsida; Poales; Poaceae
Description: long non-coding RNA (TAES_LNC025680)
Source: RNAcentral
AAAUAUAUUCAGAUUCAAGUCCAUGAAAAUGAAGAUUAAAUUAUACUUGCCUGUUUAUAGCUGGAAAUUAGCUGACAUUGGUCGAAAUACAUAACACUGCUGAUUGGCCAGUAAAUUAUCUAUUAGAAGAGUUAGAUUAGCCAAUUUGAAGCAAGCAUCCAACACAAUAUUCUCUGGAUAAACAUGUCUUGCAGUACUUUCUAUUGCAAGAUAAGUAGGUUCUUGCACCUCCUUCACACAAAUGUAUUAUGUGAUUCUUUGACAUGUGAGUUAGAUCACAGUGGAGUAGAUAGAGAUGUUGGGCACAUAGCACAUUCCACAUAUUCCAGUCUGAGAACUAUGCAAGCCGUCUUGCAUUCAUCUGAGAAAAAAAGGGC